This 1080-nucleotide long non-coding RNA is filed under the name Panax ginseng (ginseng). Its description in RNAcentral is "long non-coding RNA (PGIN_LNC017435)". The record is from RNAcentral. Lineage: Eukaryota; Viridiplantae; Streptophyta; Magnoliopsida; Apiales; Araliaceae.
AUAUAUAUAUAUAUAUACAUAUAUAUAUAUGAAUCUUCGAGAAGGAAUACAUAGUCAGAACAUCGAUGGAAGAUAAUCUUUACAGCUUACGACUUUUUAUUUGAUAAGUAGCUCGUGAACUUGUUAGAGACUAAAUGUAGAGAAGCAAAGCUUGUUUCUGAAUUUUAGAACCCAUUUGCAUUAUAACAUGAAAUUCUUAAUUAAUUCUUGAUGAUAUAAUGUGCAGGCAGGGGCCGAGUCACACUUGGGCUGUGGUGGACGGUAGCCCGGGUAAAUCUGCCGCAAACCAUCCCACCUGUUCCUACGUCCGGGCGACACCCGCCGACGUGAUGCGGUGAAGGAGUAUCACUAAUCACGUCUUGAUCUGAUAAAUGGAGAGAGACAGAGAGUUUAUGAGCUUAUACCUAAAAUAUUAUCAGAUUACUAAAUUACUUUGUUCUUUCCAUAAACAAAGAAUUAACCUAAACUCUUUAGAAACUGAAAUUGAAGGAGAAUAAUUCUUUACGAAUUGAGGUUAGCAAACUGAAUUGGAGAAGAAAUUGGAGCAAGGAAUUGUCACGAAAAGGAAGUAAAAACAAAUUUGAAUCAAGAAUGCAAGGGAUUGCAUCAAUUAAACUUCAAAUUGAGAGGUAAGCCAUGUGUUUAUGUAAGUUCAUAGAAAUUGAAAAUAUACAUAUGAAUGUUGAUAUAAUUGCUAUGCAUGGGUUGUGAAUUAAUGUAAGAGGAAUAUUGUUUAUGUUAUAUGGAGUAAUAAGGAAGGAUUCCAUGAAAUUUUUUGGUUAGAACCCUUCUAAAGUCUUAUGAAAUUUUGGAAUCUAAGUGUUGUAGACAUGAUGUUUGAAAAUUUACCUCAAAGAGGUUAAAAUGUGUAAAAUUGAGAAUUAGUAGGCUAGGAAGUAUGCAUAUAUGUAUUAGAAGAUAACCUAAGUUAUUUGUUCUGCAAAGGUACUCUUUGAUCUAUCUCUUGGUAGUCCUGGACAGGAAAACAAUCUUAACUCCGCCCUUGUGUGCGGGAAAUAGGUUACGUAAAGUUUGUAAUUUAUACUUGUCAACAUUCAACUCAUAAGAAGCAAAAAUUGG